This 506-nucleotide ribosomal RNA is filed under the name uncultured bacterium. RNAcentral describes it as "partial 16S ribosomal RNA". It matches the Rfam family "Bacterial small subunit ribosomal RNA", at positions 29 to 523 of the family's 1533-position model. The record is from RNAcentral.
AGUGAACGCUGGCGGUAGGCCUAACACAUGCAAGUCGAACGGCAGCACAGGAGAGCUUGCUCUCUGGGUGGCGAGGGGCGGACGGGUGAGGAAUACAUCGGAAUCUACUUUUUCGUGGGGGAUAACGUAGGGAAACUUACGCUAAUACCGCAUACGACCUACGGGUGAAAGCAGGGGACCUUCGGGCCUUGCGCGAUUGAAUGAGCCGAUGUCGGAUUAGCUAGUUGGCGGGGUAAAGGCCCACCAAGGCGACGAUCCGUAGCUGGUCUGAGAGGAUGGGCAGCCACACUGGAACUGAGACACGGUCCAGACUCCUACGGGAGGCAGCAGUGGGGAAUAUUGGACAAUGGGCGCAAGCCUGAUCCAGCCAUACCGCGUGGGUGAAGAAGGCCUUCGGGUUGUAAAGCCCUUUUGUUGGGAAAGAAAUCCAUCUGGUUAAUACCCGGGUGGGAUGACGGUACCCAAAGAAUAAGCACCGGCUAACUUCGUGCCAGCCGCCGCCGUAA